Molecule: ribosomal RNA, 468 nt
Filed under: uncultured bacterium
Lineage: Bacteria
Description: partial 16S ribosomal RNA
Rfam family: Bacterial small subunit ribosomal RNA
Source: RNAcentral
UCCUCCCUCUGUCGGCGUGCUUAACACAUGCAAGUCGAACGGAAAGGCCCUGCUUUUGUGGGGUGCUCGAGUGGCGAACGGGUGAGUAACACGUGAGUAACCUGCCCUUGACUUUGGGAUAACUUCAGGAAACUGGGGCUAAUACCGGAUAGGAGCUCCUGCUGCAUGGUGGGGGUUGGAAAGUUUCGGCGGUUGGGGAUGGACUCGCGGCUUAUCAGCUUGUUGGUGGGGUAGUGGCUUACCAAGGCUUUGACGGGUAGCCGGCCUGAGAGGGUGACCGGCCACAUUGGGACUGAGAUACGGCCCAGACUCCUACGGGAGGCAGCAGUGGGGAAUAUUGCACAAUGGGCGGAAGCCUGAUGCAGCAACGCCGCGUGCGGGAUGACGGCCUUCGGGUUGUAAACCGCCUUCGCCUGUGACGAAGCGUGAGUGACGGUAAUGGGUAAAGAAGCACCGGCUAACUACGUG